Small nuclear RNA from Onychomys torridus (southern grasshopper mouse), 162 nucleotides. RefSeq annotates it as U1 spliceosomal RNA. The record is from RefSeq and is a predicted model, not a curated record. The transcript has a single exon. NCBI's taxonomy places the organism in Eukaryota, Metazoa, Chordata, Mammalia, Rodentia, Cricetidae.
AUACUAAUCUGGCAGAGGAGACACCGUGAUCACAGAGGUGUUUUCCCAGGGCCAGAUUUAUCCACUGCACUCCAGAUGUGCUGACCCCUGUGAUUUCCCCAAAUAUGGGGAACUCAAUGGCAUCAUUAGUGGUAGGUAGUGGGGAACUCAUUUGCACUCUUC